Molecule: unclassified non-coding RNA, 209 nt
Filed under: plant metagenome
Description: partial contains small subunit ribosomal RNA, internal transcribed spacer 1, and 5.8S ribosomal RNA
Source: RNAcentral
UUUCCGUAGGUGAACCUGCGGAAGGAUCAUUAUCGUGGGGCUUCGGCCCUAUCGAGAUAGAAACCUUGCCUUUAUAGUACCUUCUGUUGCCUCGGCGUACGCUUCACCGCUGCGCCAAUGAGGCCAAACAAAAACCCUUUUUCUUAUCAUGAAUUAGUCUGAAAAACAAACAAAAGUUAAAACUUUCAACAACGGAUCUCUUGGUUCUG